This 672-nucleotide ribosomal RNA is filed under the name Chloropicon primus. RNAcentral describes it as "partial Eukaryotic large subunit ribosomal RNA". It matches the Rfam family "Eukaryotic large subunit ribosomal RNA", at positions 1258 to 1920 of the family's 3401-position model. The record is from RNAcentral. Lineage: Eukaryota; Viridiplantae; Chlorophyta; Chloropicophyceae; Chloropicales; Chloropicaceae.
AAGUCGGAAUCCGCUAAGGAAUGUUUAACAACUCACCUGCCGAAUGAAUCAGCCUUGAAAAUGGAUGGCGCUCAAGCGAUACACCCAUACUCAACCGUUCACGUUGAUUUAUGUUGCGUGAACGAGUAGGCAGGCGUAAAGGUUUUGUGAUAAAGCCUAGGCAGUGAUGCCGGGUAGAACAGCCUUUAGUGCAGAUCUUGGUGGAAGUAGCAAAUAUUCAAGUGAGAACCUUGAAGACUGAAGUGGGGAAGGGUUCCAUGCAAACAGCAAUUGAACAUGGGUUAGUCGGUCCUAAGAGAUAGGGAAACUCCGUUUUAAAGCGCUUGCUUGUUCAAGCCGUCUAUCGAAAGGGAAUGCGGUUAAGAUUCCGCAACCAGGAUGCAGAUUUUGAGCGGUAACGCAAAUGAACUUGGAGACGCCAGCGGGAGCCCCGGGAAGAGUUAUCUUUUCUCCUUAACAGUUUCAUACCACCCUGGAAUCGGAUUAUCCGGAGAUAGGGUAGUCUGACUGGUAGAGCCUUGCAACUUUGUAGGGUCCGGUGCGCUUCUGAUGGUCCUUGAAAAUCCGAGGGAAUGAAAUAGUCUUGCACCUGAUCGUACCCAUAUCCGCAUCAGGUCCCCAAGGUGAUCAGCCUCUAGUCCAUAGAAUAAUGUAGAUAAGGGAAGUCGGCAA